GGGAGUUAUAUCGGAAUAGCUUUCGCAUCCCUGGCUCUAUCGAUCCUCCUGCGUAUUCUGAUAGUUUGCACGUGGAUUGGAUGCGAGAAGAGUUUCACUCAUGACUGAUUUUGAAAUCCGAAUCUGCAACAGUGAACUCAUGUCUAAGAAUCAUUAUCCCUCACCUCCAGAUAUUUACCUUGGAACAGAGUCACAGUGGGCGACAUGUUGGAUGCAUGUAUGUGAAAAGCUUUCAAGACUUCGAAGAAACGGUGUGUACACUCCUGCAACUGCAGGUUUCGAUAACUCAACCAUCGUGAGCGAAUAUGUCCAAACAGAGAAGACAAGAGAGUGAAAGAGUUCUCAGAAGAGCAGAGGACAAGAUCACAGAACAUUCAACAUUAGGGUCGCUGCUAACUUGUGUCUCGUCGACCGCUUUGCCUCCUAAUGCAAAGAUCAUUUUUAUUUCCGUUUGGACUCCAUAUAUUAUUAAUCGACAUAAAAAGUGAAAUAUAAUAGCAUGCUCAUAAUGGCUGAAUUGGAAAGUGAUGACACUGACUUUACAAUGAUUAAAAAGUAGAAGCAUUCAACACGGGUUCGUUUUAGUAAUUUGCACCGAGUUAUUUAAAGAUACUACUUCGUUCUAUACUGGGAGUGUUUUACAACCUAC
Molecule: long non-coding RNA, 649 nt
Organism: Rhincodon typus (whale shark)
Lineage: Eukaryota; Metazoa; Chordata; Chondrichthyes; Orectolobiformes; Rhincodontidae
Exons: 4
Source: RefSeq, a predicted model, not a curated record